Molecule: long non-coding RNA, 1437 nt
Organism: Helianthus annuus (common sunflower)
Lineage: Eukaryota; Viridiplantae; Streptophyta; Magnoliopsida; Asterales; Asteraceae
Exons: 6
Source: RefSeq, a predicted model, not a curated record
AUUUUGGCUCCAUGUUUUCGUACUUUUGAAUUUGAAAUUUGAAAUUCACACUCUAUAAUGCAAGUUCUUCUCUCUCCUAAUUCUUUCAUUUGAAAUUUACAUUUCCCUGCUCCUAAUUUUCUCUCUCUAUACGUUCUUCAUGUUGUUCAAUAGAAGCCCUAAAUCGGUCAUAUUUUGAAGGAUUUCUUAUCUGAAAUCGCUGUUAGGGGCUACAAUCGAACGAAAAAGAGGCUGAGUGGUAUCUGUAUUCUCAUAAUCGAAAGAAGGAUGAAGGGAAGCAACGAACUGGGUUCUAAUAGGGCUUUCAAGGGUAACUUUAUCAGGGUUUUGAGUGAGAUAUAGUGCCGAAAAAUGAAGCAGCUUAAGAACCAUUAGCAGUUUCUCCAGCGUUGGUGCUUGAAUAUGAGGUUUUUACGGUUUAGAGAGAGAAGGAGAGAACUAGAAAAGGAUAGUUCAGGAGAAACAGAGAGAGAACGAGAAAGGAAAGAGCUUAAGAGAAAGAUAAAGAGAUUUUUGAUGUAUUUUGUUUUGUGCUCAGGGCAAGCUUCCAUGUGAAUUCUACAAAGUAAAAGAUCUUGAAGCCCAAUGCUUUACUGGAAAAUCCUUGGUCAAAAUUUUUCUGAAUAAGGAUCCAAUGGUUGAUCUGUUUUUCACCGUCGAUGGAGAUGAUGUAAUUUGCAGCUGACUAUAUCAAUCAGAAAUUGUUUAUGAAUGAUAUUAUUGAAAUUAAGAGGCUGAGUUUGAACGGGUAUCCUCUACGAACCAACAUGUCCAUUGCAGGAAAAUUGAAUCCAGACAAUGAUACCAUUAUUCUUCGGUUACAAAUUUGUUUGUUUUGAUCUGUCUGCACGAAAUGAAUAAUUUUUUACACUUUGUGGUUGGAUUGGAUUUAUUGGAUGAUGAUAGCAAGCCAAAAAGGCAUAUUCAAUCCUGCCUUGAUACUUUGUGUGUUUUUGGUAAGCAAAUCUCUAUACCCUAAAUAAGGUAUGUGUACGAAUUAAUCAAUUUUUUAAUCAUUCACACCUGUGUUGAUAUCUUUGACUUUAUUUCAACUUCGUAAUCUAAGAGCAUGGCAACCAUCUCCGUCCUCCUUGUGGGGUGGUAUUUCUAAAUACAAAGUCCUUCACUAUUGUUUAUCAUAGGUUGUUAGCUUGACUUGUAAGUUGGUAUUUCACCAAUGCAGGCAGGUGACAUUGACCAUCUAGCUGUCAUUUCUUACAACUCAUAAUAUUGCACAUGGAUUGAUCUCAGAAAAUCUCCUGUACUACAAUAUCUAUACUACCUUGCCCAGGUUUCCAACGCUAACAAAUGGGCUAUCAAGCAAUUAGUUGUUUCAUGAGGCGCAAGGUUUACUCAUAGCUGCUAUAAUUCCCAUGGCAUUUUUUACUCCUUAUUUUUUAUCUGAUGAUUCCGUUGGGUUUUUACCCGCUUUGUGUA